UCUCUGCCCAGACCAGCUUCCUCCCUCUGGCUCCGUUUCUAUUUCUGUCUUGCUUUCCUCCCCCCCCCAAGGCCUCAGGGGGCCCCUGGCUAGCUUGAAGCCUUCUUCCUUUUUCACCAGGACUAAGAAGGAGUUUUCAUGGAGGAUAUCUGCGAGGACCGAGAUACCCAGAACCUCUGACCUAGCCAAACCACCUUUGCCUCCCCAGGCAAGUCUCCAGUCCCUGGAUAGCCCCUCCUCCAUUACCCUCCACUCUUCAGCCGACAAUACUUCAUUUAUGCUCAUACAGAGGUCCUGAGUUCAAUUCCCAGCAACCACAUGGUGGCUCACAAUCAUCUAUAAUGGGAUCUGGUGCCCUCUUCUGGAGUGUCUGAAGGCAGCCUCACUGUAUUCAUAAUAAAUAAAUAAAUCUUUUAAAUUUU
Apodemus sylvaticus (European woodmouse) is the source of this 422-nucleotide long non-coding RNA. RefSeq lists it as uncharacterized. The record is from RefSeq and is a predicted model, not a curated record. Lineage: Eukaryota; Metazoa; Chordata; Mammalia; Rodentia; Muridae. The transcript is spliced from 2 exons.